Molecule: unclassified non-coding RNA, 276 nt
Filed under: fungal sp.
Lineage: Eukaryota; Fungi
Description: partial internal transcribed spacer region
Rfam family: Eukaryotic small subunit ribosomal RNA (bases 1-46)
Source: RNAcentral
AAGUCGUAACAAGGUCUCCGUAGGUGAACCUGCGGAGGGAUCACUAUAGCAAAAACUUUACUGCCAGGAGAGGGGGGGGGAGGGGAGAGGAAAUGCCUUUUCUGCUCUUGUCCUUCUUUUCCUGGACAAACAAUCAACACACAUGACUAGGAAAGGAAAGGGAAAUGAUUUGUAUACACACAAGAAGAAGAAGAAGAAGAAGUUCUUGUCUGAUAAGUAGCUUGUUGAGUUACUACACAUCAAUACAACUUUCAACAACGGAUCUCUUGGCUCUCA